Long non-coding RNA from Hermetia illucens (black soldier fly), 584 nucleotides. RefSeq lists it as uncharacterized. Lineage: Eukaryota; Metazoa; Arthropoda; Insecta; Diptera; Stratiomyidae. The record is from RefSeq and is a predicted model, not a curated record. The transcript is spliced from 3 exons.
AGCUGCCAUCCAUCUAGGGUGCAUUGCCGUUCUUCACGAGCAACCACUGUACGAUUUGAAAACGGCGCAUUUCUCACAUAAGAUGAGCACAACAUCUUUAUACGCGAAGCGUCCAGGUUCCGGUAUUCCUACUUGUUUGCAUCUGUUGCAGGUUCACUUCUUCACAUUUGCUAAUAAUAUUGAAAUGGGAAAAUGGCUGUAUGUUUUUUUAGGCGGAAAUAGUAGCUUGACCUGCCCAAUUACUGUAUCCGUUGAAACAAAAUCGAUUCGGAACGCUCAUUUGUUAAUUAUAAUGGUUUAAAAAUUGAAUUCUCAUGAGGCGGAAAAGAAAACACAGUUAAUGGCUGACAUUUCAUCUGACGUCAUCGAGCGGGUAAUCAAUCAGGAACGUGAGAAAUUAAUGCGUGAAAGGACAAUCAUUUCGACAGUAAAGGCCACAAAAAAAUUGAUUUGCACUGAGCAGGAUUCGAACUUUCUGAUUUACAGGCCACAAAAAAAUUGAUUUGCACUGAGCGGGAUUCGAACCUUGGGCAAUUUGGAUAUUCCGCGGCAUAUAUUCUCUUAUGACUUAAUCUAAAUUUGAA